UGGGCUAAGAAUAAUCGAUUAUGUACUUAUGAUAAUCGAUUGUUUAUAAGCCAAGACUGCAUGACAAUCGAUUAUGAACUAAUGAUAAUCGAUUGUGAGUAAGACAGUUAACAUCAGGUUUUUCAAAUCUGCAAGAUAAUCGAUUGUGAACUAAUGACAAUCGAUUAUUGAUGAGGUAAAGUUUUCCAAUACUCAGAAUAAUCGAUUAUGAACAAAUGGUAAUCGAUUAUGUUGAGUUGAUGUCUCCCAGUGAUUUUAAAAUUACUUAAGAAAUCGAUUAUUAACUAAUGGUAAUCGAUUAUGAUGAGUUAACUAGGUUUAACAAU
RNAcentral lists this long non-coding RNA (326 nucleotides) under Nicotiana benthamiana. RNAcentral describes it as "long non-coding RNA (NBEN_LNC009007)". The record is from RNAcentral. Lineage: Eukaryota; Viridiplantae; Streptophyta; Magnoliopsida; Solanales; Solanaceae.